Molecule: long non-coding RNA, 2560 nt
Organism: Canis lupus familiaris (dog)
Lineage: Eukaryota; Metazoa; Chordata; Mammalia; Carnivora; Canidae
Exons: 5
Source: RefSeq, a predicted model, not a curated record
CAUUGUGUGUGUGAAAUGAGGAGGCAAGGGACCUCUGAGAAAAUUCUACUCCGCAGUUAUGCUGGGCCUGGAUCCUGAAUCCACAUGUACCACAUAUGCCUUCAGAAAUCUGCCUCCCUGCCUGGAGUUCUCAGACCUGCUCCCCCUCACCGUCCCACCUCUCCUUCCUUCCUCCUCUCCACACUGCCCAGCAGGGAACUGAGCAUGGGCUGGUUAUGGUUGGGCUCCUGUGCUCCACGGCAUCUGGAAAUGGAGUGCAGUGCCAAGCGUCCCAGCCCCAGGCUGGCACACCAUGGCUCAUUUGGCAGGUGAUUCAGUGGAGCAGAUCUCUCAGCCUCCCCUGAUCCAGAUGGAAAUCCUGGGGCUGCACUUGUAGGCGAAGAUCACUUUCUUCCCUUCCGCAUUCCGGACCUGUGCCCAGAGGGCUUCGAUCACUGGAAAGGGACCUAGAAGGAGGAUUCUUGGACAGCGUGGGGCACCUCGAUCCUACCAAAGCAUAUCAGAACCACAAAGGUUGGAGGAGGAUUAAAAUGAUACAAGUUUCCCCACAUCCCAUUGUCACCCCAGCCCUGCCGGUUUGUGAGACUAUCAGCUGGAUGAGCAACUGCUACUUAUACACCUUUGCUGUCAACAUGUAGGGCUGGGAACAACAUAGAGACCCACAGUCAAGGUGAAAGGUGCAUCACCUGCUCCCCAAAAGUAACUCCAGGGAGAGAAGAGGGUGCUCCCGGGAAAUGUGUCCAAAAGGAAACAAUCCCUGUACACAGUAGGACAAGAAUUCUCUUCCACGUGUCAUUGUCUACUCCUAUGCCACCCGGGGAACAAACAUUUCACCCCAGGCAGGAAUAAAAGGCUCCUUUAUGCUGAGCUUCCUCCAUUCUCUCUCAGUAAUUUGGAGCCCAUGAAGCUGCUUCCAGAGGAGAGGGCCCCAGAUCUAGAAUCAGGCAAUGGCACCCCAGUCCUGACUUUGCCACUAACCACCUGUGAAGAAGUAUCAGCUCCUUCUUUUCCCUUGUCCUCAGUCUGUUCUCCUAGUCUCCAUUUUCUUUGGUUGUACAAGGAGGGAUUGAACGCCAUAUCUAAGGGUCCUAUGGUUCCAAGGGUGUCCAUUGUGACAACCUUCUCUCAGCUGCCACCAUAAUUAAGACAUAAGCAGACUUUGUCCUCAUUAGUCAUGGCCUCCCUUUGGUUCUAUUUGCUCUCUUUUAGGCUUCUCUUCCUCUCCAGCCCACUAGAUUCCCACCAAUGCUACCAUGUUCUAUAAGACGUAACUCCAUUCACCCUCGCCAACCUUUCCAUAAGGAGGGAGGCUUCUAAAGUCUGCAGACCAAGGGGCCUAGGAGGUGGUCUGGUGCAGAGAAAAGACAGCUCUGGAGUCAGACUUUCCAAUUUCACACAUGGCUCUGUGACCUCUGAUAUGUGACUCAGCCUCUCUGUGCCUCUGAUCCUCAUCUGUAAAAUGGGGACAACACCAGCACUUAAGUCAGAAGGUUCCAGAGAGCAUUCAGUAAAUUAGUACUCAUAAAGCAUUAGGAGACUACCGCAUUGGAAGUAAGCACCAUAUGGAUGUUAGCCACAGAAAAAAGAAGCAUUUAUGUUGCAGAAGUCUUCAAAUCUUAAAAUAAACGACUGACUUCUAAUGCAUCAGUUUCAAGAGAUAGUAAACGAAAUGAAAGGUUUAGAGGCUAGAAAGGACUAUUGUGUUUCCCUAAAAUCACAACACACAGAUUGGCCUGCCCAACAAGCACACACGCCAGUUCUCUGGGAACUGAUUUUAGAGCUCAGAUUUUAGAUUCUAACCUAGCUGUAUUAUUUUAUAUCAAAACUCCAGUUUCCACAGAGAUAUUCAGUAUAUUUUUUAUUUUGAAUGUAACAAACCAAUUAAAGAAUGUUUCACAGUACGGUCCCUUUUGGGCUCCCAACCAAAGAACGCGUAUGAUCUCUGAGACCUUUUAGUUUCUGUUAUAGAUACAACUUGUAACCAUGAGGUGACCUAAUUUUAAAUUUCUCUCUGCCACUAGAACCUGAAAUGUGUCUUCUCCAGCAGGUAAACUCAGUCAACUCAUAUAAUCUAACAUGUUUUAGAAUAUCCUUCUCUACAGGUAAGGGGAUAAUGGAUAAGGGAGAUGCCUUCAAAUAAUAAAAAAAAGCUCAUGAAUCCCAGACAUUUUAUUGUUGGAUGGCUGGACACAGGAGGGAUACAGCAACCGUUGGGGUCUCUGGUGCCAUGCAUCUAGAUUGAUGGGAUACUUGGAAACAUACCAUGGUCUUCAAAGGCAAGUCACACUAUCCGGUAAGGCUGCAAGACUCAGGAAGUUUGUUGGAGGUUUUGCCCCAUGAAAAGUGAUCUUUUGGAGGACUCGGUUAUAACUCACUCUGUGGGUGAAAAUUGUCUCUUGAAGUUGAUGUGAAUAUCAAAGUUAUAGUGAAGGCACCUCAGUGACCUUGUUCUUCUAAUAUCUAAAUACUAUCGUUUGGAAACCUCCAGGCUGAUAAUUUAGAAGACUAAGAGCUAUUACUUAAAGAAACAAUAAUGAGAAAGAUGAGAGAGGCAGCAGAA